RNAcentral lists this ribosomal RNA (451 nucleotides) under uncultured bacterium. RNAcentral's name for it is "partial 16S ribosomal RNA". It matches the Rfam family "Bacterial small subunit ribosomal RNA", at positions 29 to 523 of the family's 1533-position model. The record is from RNAcentral.
AGCGAACGCUGGCGGCAGGCUUAACACAUGCAAGUCGAGCGGGCGUAGCAAUACGUCAGCGGCAGACGGGUGAGUAACGCGUGGGAACGUGCCCUUUGGUUCGGAACAACACAGGGAAACUUGUGCUAAUACCGGAUAAGCCCUUACGGGGAAAGAUUUAUCGCCGAAGGAUCGGCCCGCGUCUGAUUAGCUUGUUGGUGAGGUAACGGCUCACCAAGGCUACGAUCAGUAGCUGGUCUGAGAGGAUGAUCAGCCACACUGGGACUGAGACACGGCCCAGACUCCUACGGGAGGCAGCAGUGGGGAAUAUUGGACAAUGGGGGCAACCCUGAUCCAGCCAUGCCGCGUGAGUGAUGAAGGCCCUAGGGUUGUAAAGCUCUUUCGGCGGGGAAGAUAAUGACGGUACCCGCAUAAGAAGCCCCGGCUAACUUCGUGCCAGCCGCCGCGGUAA